This 389-nucleotide long non-coding RNA is filed under the name Sorghum bicolor (sorghum). Its description in RNAcentral is "long non-coding RNA (SBIC_LNC007393)". The record is from RNAcentral. Lineage: Eukaryota; Viridiplantae; Streptophyta; Magnoliopsida; Poales; Poaceae.
GCAUGUGGCGUAAGAUUCGAUGUGACGGAGAAUCUUGAAAAGAUUUUGGUUUUUGGUGCGACCGAGUAUAUCUUUUAUCGUCUAUCCCCUGUACUAUGUUGUGACGUGUGACGGCCGUGCGCUAGUGGCCUCUGACAGUGUGGGAAAGGCAUCGUCGGAAAAGGAAGCAUACUCUUCUCUACACAGGAGAAAGAGUGGAUGAUGGCGCAUGGGCCGCCUGAAGCACCGAUCAAGUCCACCCAACAAUUACUGGACUGGACUGGACUGGAUCAGCACAGCGGCAACCUCUCGCUUUAAACUAAUGAAAGACCUUGGUUGCUUUACAAGGCAGAGAGGGUGCUUUUGGGAGAUGGGAGACAAAAGCGGGAUCAGAACAAGGAUGAUCUGUC